GUCCACGCCGUAAACGAUGAGUACUAGGUGUUGCGGGUAUUGACCCCUGCAGUGCCGCAGCUAACGCAUUAAGUACUCCGCCUGGGAAGUACGGUCGCAAGACUAAAACUCAAAGGAAUUGACGGGGGCCAGCACAAGCGGUGGAGCAUGUGGUUUAAUUCGACGCAACGCGCAGAACCUUACCUGGUCUUGACAUCUACGGAACCCUCCCGAAAAGGAGGGGUGCCUUUCGGGGAGCCGUAAGACAGGUGCUGCAUGGCUGUCGU
RNAcentral lists this ribosomal RNA (266 nucleotides) under uncultured bacterium. Its description in RNAcentral is "partial 16S ribosomal RNA". It matches the Rfam family "Bacterial small subunit ribosomal RNA", at positions 793 to 1055 of the family's 1533-position model. The record is from RNAcentral.